AUAAGCAUUGUCAGAGAUAACAUGGAAUAAUACAUCAAUAAUUGGUUAGGUGUUAAGUGGUUGCUUCAAUGCUCUGCCUACUGCAGGUGAUGUCACCGGGGCCAUGAGGGUCUCCCACGGUUUACCGGCGCCAUCUUGGUACACGAGGUAGUUAGUCGAUGUUAGGAGGGAGGAAGGGAAGGGGGGGGGAAGGAGCUAGAAGCUUCCAGCAGCCAUCUUAAU
Pelobates cultripes (western spadefoot toad) is the source of this 222-nucleotide non-coding RNA. The record is from the annotation of a GenBank genome assembly. NCBI's taxonomy places the organism in Eukaryota, Metazoa, Chordata, Amphibia, Anura, Pelobatidae.